Molecule: small nucleolar RNA, 75 nt
Organism: Eleginops maclovinus (Patagonian blennie)
Lineage: Eukaryota; Metazoa; Chordata; Actinopteri; Perciformes; Eleginopidae
Product: small nucleolar RNA SNORD26
Exons: 1
Source: RefSeq, a predicted model, not a curated record
CUGCAGUGAUGAUAAUAAGAACUCUCUCUUGCCGAAUCAGCUUUGAAGAAACUUCUUUACCAGAUUCUGAGCAGC